GAUGAAGAACGUAGCGAAAUGCGAUACGUAAUGUGAAUUGCAAAUUCAGUGAAUCAUCGAGUCUUUGAACGCACAUUGCGCCCCCUGGUAUUCCGGGGGGCAUGCCUGUCCGAGCGUCAUUGCUGCCCUCAAGCACGGCUUGUGUGUUGGGCCCCGUCCUCCGAUCCCGGGGGACGGGCCCGAAAGGCAGCGGCGGCACCGCGUCCGGUCCUCGAGCGUAUGGGGCUUUGUCACCCGCUCUGUAGGCCCGGCCGGCGCUUGCCGAUCAACCCAAAUUUUUUAUCCAGGUUGACCUCGGAUCAGGUAGGGAUACCCGCUGAACUUAAGCAAAUCAAUAAGCGGAGGA
RNAcentral lists this unclassified non-coding RNA (346 nucleotides) under soil metagenome. RNAcentral's name for it is "partial contains 5.8S ribosomal RNA, internal transcribed spacer 2, and large subunit ribosomal RNA". The stretch from base 1 to 119 matches the Rfam family "5.8S ribosomal RNA", at positions 35 to 154 of the family's 154-position model. The record is from RNAcentral.